GUCGAGCGGUAGCACANAGAGCUUGCUCUCGGGUGACGAGCGGCGGACGGGUGAGUAAUGUCUGGGAAACUGCCUGAUGGAGGGGGAUAACUACUGGAAACGGUAGCUAAUACCGCAUAACGUCGCAAGACCAAAGUGGGGGACCUUCGGGCCUCAUGCCAUCAGAUGUGCCCAGAUGGGAUUAGCUAGUAGGUGGGGUAAUGGCUCACCUAGGCGACGAUCCCUAGCUGGUCUGAGAGGAUGACCAGCCACACUGGAACUGAGACACGGUCCAGACUCCUACGGGAGGCAGCAGUGGGGAAUAUUGCACAAUGGGCGCAAGCCUGAUGCAGCCAUGCCGCGUGUAUGAAGAAGGCCUUCGGGUUGUAAAGUACUUUCAGCGAGGAGGAAGGCAUUAAGGUUAAUAACCUUGGUGAUUGACGUUACUCGCAGAAGAAGCACCGGCUAACUCCGUGCCAGCAGCCGCGGUAAUACGGAGGGUGCAAGCGUUAAUCGGANAUUACUGGGCGUAAAGCGCACGCAGGCGGUCUGUCAAGUCGGAUGUGAAAUCCCCNGGGCUCAACCUGGGAACUGCAUUCGAAAACUGGCAGGCUAGAGUCUUGUAGAGGGGGGUAGAAUUCCAGGUGUAGCGGUGAAAUGCGUAGAGAUCUGGAGGAAUACCGGUGGCGAAGGCGGCCCCCUGGGACAAAGACUGACGCUCAGGUGCGAAAGCGUGGGGAGCAAACAAGAUUAGAUACCCUGGUAGUCCACGCCGUAAACGANGUCGACUUGGAGGUUGUGCCCUUGAGGCGUGGCUUCCGGAGCUAACGCGUUAAGUCGACCGCCUGGGGAGUACGGCCGCAAGGUUAAAACUCAAAUGAAUUGACGGGGGCCCGCACAAGCGGUGGAGCAUGUGGUUUAAUUCGAUGCAACGCGAAGAACCUUACCUACUCUUGACAUCCAGAGAACUUAGCAGAGAUGCUUUGGUGCCUUCGGGAACUCUGAGACAGGUGCUGCAUGGCUGUCGUCAGCUCGUGUUGUGAAAUGUUGGGUUAAGUCCCGCAACGAGCGCAACCCUUAUCCUUUGUUGCCAGCNGNCNGGCCGGGAACUCAAAGGAGACUGCCAGUGAUAAACUGGAGGAAGGUGGGGAUGACGUCAAGUCAUCAUGGCCCUUACGAGUAGGGCUACACACGUGCUACAAUGGCAUAUACAAAGAGAAGCGACCUCGCGAGAGCAAGCGGACCUCAUAAAGUAUGUCGUAGUCCGGAUUGGAGUCUGCAACUCGACUCCAUGAAGUCGGAAUCGCUAGUAAUCGUAGAUCAGAAUGCUACGGUGAAUACGUUCCCGGGCCUUGUACACACCGCCCGUCACACCAUGGGAGUGGGUUGCAAAAGAAGUA
RNAcentral lists this ribosomal RNA (1379 nucleotides) under Klebsiella sp. RNAcentral describes it as "bacterial SSU rRNA". It matches the Rfam family "Bacterial small subunit ribosomal RNA", at positions 61 to 1428 of the family's 1533-position model. Lineage: Bacteria; Pseudomonadati; Pseudomonadota; Gammaproteobacteria; Enterobacterales; Enterobacteriaceae. The record is from RNAcentral.